This 433-nucleotide ribosomal RNA is filed under the name Staphylococcus aureus. RNAcentral describes it as "bacterial SSU rRNA". It matches the Rfam family "Bacterial small subunit ribosomal RNA", at positions 72 to 492 of the family's 1533-position model. Lineage: Bacteria; Bacillati; Bacillota; Bacilli; Caryophanales; Staphylococcaceae. The record is from RNAcentral.
CGAGAAGCUUGCUUCUCUGAUGUUAGCGGCGGACGGGUGAGUAACACGUGGAUAACCUACCUAUAAGACUGGGAUAACUUCGGGAAACCGGAGCUAAUACCGGAUAAUAUUUUGAACCGCAUGGUUCAAAAGUGAAAGACGGUCUUGCUGUCACUUAUAGAUGGAUCCGCGCUGCAUUAGCUAGUUGGUAAGGUAACGGCUUACCAAGGCAACGAUGCAUAGCCGACCUGAGAGGGUGAUCGGCCACACUGGAACUGAGACACGGUCCAGACUCCUACGGGAGGCAGCAGUAGGGAAUCUUCCGCAAUGGGCGAAAGCCUGACGGAGCAACGCCGCGUGAGUGAUGAAGGUCUUCGGAUCGUAAAACUCUGUUAUUAGGGAAGAACAUAUGUGUAAGUAACUGUGCACAUCUUGACGUACCUAAUCAGAAGCC